This is a non-coding RNA of Vicia faba (fava bean), 526 nucleotides long. NCBI's taxonomy places the organism in Eukaryota, Viridiplantae, Streptophyta, Magnoliopsida, Fabales, Fabaceae. The record is from the annotation of a GenBank genome assembly.
AUGUACCAGCAAACUAGAUUUAACCGAGUGUUCCCUCUCCGUUCUAGCUUUCUAAAUAAGUCAGAUCGGUGCCCUUUAUCCGGGAAGACUCCUAAAUCAGUUAACUGGAGACAAGGAACCACAGCCCCUUCGGGUAGGGCAUAGGUGGCUACGGCGGAAAAACCCUGGAUCUACAAGACUUACUUCACGCUCUCUAGAAGCUCACUGCAGAGGAAGAGCGGAAGGGAAUACUGAACCACGCCUCGAGUCCCAAUCUCCUAGUGGUGGGAUGGUAAAGGGCAAUGUCCGGUUCUGGCCAAGAGAUGUCUUUGCUCCGUCCCCCUUCUUGUUGGUUGGCACAAGCCCUUGUAGUAGUCAGCCUUUCCUCCCCGACGGUCUACACCAGGGCAUAUUCGAAUGCCCCGCCGCCAGCAUCGCUCUUCUCUUCGAACAGAAGCAACUCUGUAGGGAGGAGAGCCUGCCGAUCGAGUGAAGGGAUCCAUACGGCUUUCAGGGGGAGCUGCUUUUACAGCCUACUGGUAUUUAA